RNAcentral lists this ribosomal RNA (367 nucleotides) under uncultured bacterium. RNAcentral's name for it is "bacterial SSU rRNA". It matches the Rfam family "Bacterial small subunit ribosomal RNA", at positions 527 to 896 of the family's 1533-position model. The record is from RNAcentral.
GGAGGGUGCAAGCGUUAUCCGGAUUCACUGGGUUUAAAGGGUGCGUAGGUGGCUUUGUAAGUCAGUGGUGAAAUGCUUCCGCUUAACGGAAGAACUGCCAUUGAUACCGCUUAGCUUGAAUCAGGUGGAGGCGGAUGGAAUAUUACAUGUAGCGGUGAAAUGCUUAGAUAUGUAAUAGAACACCGAUUGCGAAGGCAGUUCGCUACGCCUGAAUUGACACUGAGGCACGAAAGCGUGGGGAUCAAACAGGAUUAGAUACCCUGGUAGUCCACGCCCUAAACGAUGUAAACUCGACAUUAGCGAUACACAGUUAGUGUCCAAGCAAAAGCGUUAAGUUUACCACCUGGGAAGUACGACCGCAAGGUUG